GUUCCUCCUUGCUCAAAACUGCCUGCUGUCCCCUGGCCAAGAGGUGGAGUCUUACUUAGAGAAGAACAUUGUGGAUAUAUAGCCCGAGAAGAAGUCACCAUGGAGAUGGGCCUUGAUGGAGACAGGCAACGUGGAGAUGAUGGCACACAUCAACAGCCAUUGCCAUGGCAACAGGAUGAAAUGAUGGUGGUUGCCACAGAGACAGCACAUGGCAAAAAAUGAGGGAGGGGGAAUGGAAAGUGACAUGGACCAUCAGAGAAGAUGAGUUGUAUUUGCAGGAUUUGAGUCUGAGGAACAGGAGGAGAAGGUGAAGGACAGAUGGCUUGCUGAAUACAAUGGGGAAUGUCUACGCAACAGGCAAAGGUUUCCAGCACCAAUGUUUCCAGAGCGCUUGAGCAGCUAUCAAAGUUGCAGGCUGAAUGAAGCCAUUAUUAGCCAUGGCAGCGAAAUGAAACCUUCAUGUUCAGGAGCAGUAUACCUCCAAAUACCAAAUGCCAAUAAUUUAUUGAUUGUAUUUAUUUAUCA
Long non-coding RNA from Hemicordylus capensis (graceful crag lizard), 525 nucleotides. RefSeq lists it as uncharacterized. The record is from RefSeq and is a predicted model, not a curated record. The transcript has 2 exons. NCBI's taxonomy places the organism in Eukaryota, Metazoa, Chordata, Lepidosauria, Squamata, Cordylidae.